AUUUUUCCGCCCCUCUCCCACAAUUGCCUCUCCCGACCUUGAUUACUUUUCUCACUCCAGCCCUUCUUGCCGUCAAGUCUCGCCGAUUCCUAUCCUUGUCGCCACCUCUACCUCCAACUACCUCUCUACUGCCCAUCUCGUUCCACGAACUCCUCCAACCUUAGGACAAUCUCAAGUACAAUCUUGUCUUCAUCACUCUUUGCUCUAGUCUCAUCAUCUUCCUCAUCACUUUCUACUUCAUGAGCCACUCAAACGCUAUGUAUCUUGUUGAUUUCAACUGUUUCAAGCCCAAGCCGAAGAGGAUUUGCACUAGGGAGAUAUCUUCAUGGAGAGAUAUAGUCUAACGGGAUCAUUUGCAAAAGAGAUUUUAGGGUUUCAAAAUUUGAAUUUAUUUGUUAUAUAUUCCAAAUAAGAUAACUAAAUAAUCAUCAAAUGUGGUGACUAAUAAAUUUUUUAGGGUGGGACUUGUUGCAACUAUCAAGGUAUGGCAUAUUCUUAUUUUGGACAACUUUUUAUCACAGCACUAAUUUCAUGAUCCUCCAUAUCUUUAUGCUUCGCAUGUAAAUGUUACUUCUAAUAUGGCUUUUCUGGCUUCAUAGGGAAAGGCAGUUAGAUGUAUUUUUGACUUGGCCUCAAUCACCUCUCUGGAAAAGAGUAAGGCACUAUAUGCUCAUUGGGACUCAGAACUGAUCAGUACUGUUAGAGAAAGGACUAAGCUAAUGAGAUAUAUAAGAGGGUUGAAGACCAAAGUCUAGAAGAUCAAGAAGAAAUUAGGAUGCAUUAGUGGCUGCUUGCCUCUACAUUGCUUGUUGAUAAGAAGACAAGCCACGCACUGUAAAGGAGGCGAUUUUGUUCUAAUCUUGGUAUGAACAAUCAAGCUGUUAAAGCUGCUCAAGAAGUAAUGCAGAAAUCAGAAGAGUUUGAUAUAAGGAUGCUUAUUUUGACUUUCAUCAAUAUGGUGUUGCUUCUACAAGGAAAAUAGCUGGCAAUAAGUAGAAGGUUUAGAUAUUGCUCUGUGUGAAUAUGAAAUUAGGAUAUUAACUCUUAAGAUGAGAGUUUUAUAAUGAUUUUGGCUGGGGCAAUUAACUUUGGAUUUGGCCUCAGCUCUUUGAGGACAGGGCUUCGUAUGAGAUUAUGGGUCAAAAAUAUAUUAAAUCUUGUGCUCUGACUUUGAUGAGUGCUAUCUGUAAAUAUUUGAGAAGUGAUUAAUCACUU
Neltuma alba is the source of this 1215-nucleotide long non-coding RNA. RefSeq lists it as uncharacterized. The transcript is spliced from 4 exons. NCBI's taxonomy places the organism in Eukaryota, Viridiplantae, Streptophyta, Magnoliopsida, Fabales, Fabaceae. The record is from RefSeq and is a predicted model, not a curated record.